Molecule: ribosomal RNA, 119 nt
Filed under: Pteropus alecto (black flying fox)
Lineage: Eukaryota; Metazoa; Chordata; Mammalia; Chiroptera; Pteropodidae
Source: RNAcentral
GUCUACGGCCAUACUAUCCAGAACAAGCCUGACCCUGUCUGAUCUUGGAAGCUAAGCGGGGUUGAGCCUGGUUAGUAUUUGGAUGGAAGACCACCUAGGAAGACCAGGUGCUGUAGGUG